UUCUGGCUCAGUAGGUAGAGUGCUUGCCUUGCAUACACAAGGCCCUGGGUUCAAACCCAGCAAAAA
Molecule: transfer RNA, 66 nt
Filed under: Marmota monax (woodchuck)
Lineage: Eukaryota; Metazoa; Chordata; Mammalia; Rodentia; Sciuridae
Description: tRNA.Ala
Source: RNAcentral